This 497-nucleotide ribosomal RNA is filed under the name Bacillus cereus. RNAcentral describes it as "bacterial SSU rRNA". It matches the Rfam family "Bacterial small subunit ribosomal RNA", at positions 401 to 890 of the family's 1533-position model. Lineage: Bacteria; Bacillati; Bacillota; Bacilli; Caryophanales; Bacillaceae. The record is from RNAcentral.
GAGUGAUGAAGGCUUUCGGGUCGUAAAACUCUGUUGUUAGGGAAGAACAAGUGCUAGUUGAAUAAGCUGGCACCUUGACGGUACCUAACCAGAAAGCCACGGCUAACUACGUGCCAGCAGCCGCGGUAAUACGUAGGUGGCAAGCGUUAUCCGGAAUUAUUGGGCGUAAAGCGCGCGCAGGUGGUUUCUUAAGUCUGAUGUGAAAGCCCACGGCUCAACCGUGGAGGGUCAUUGGAAACUGGGAGACUUGAGUGCAGAAGAGGAAAGUGGAAUUCCAUGUGUAGCGGUGAAAUGCGUAGAGAUAUGGAGGAACACCAGUGGCGAAGGCGACUUUCUGGUCUGUAACUGACACUGAGGCGCGAAAGCGUGGGGAGCAAACAGGAUUAGAUACCCUGGUAGUCCACGCCGUAAACGAUGAGUGCUAAGUGUUAGAGGGUUUCCGCCCUUUAGUGCUGAAGUUAACGCAUUAAGCACUCCGCCUGGAGACGCCGAACGUG